Molecule: ribosomal RNA, 1188 nt
Filed under: Arostrilepis macrocirrosa
Lineage: Eukaryota; Metazoa; Platyhelminthes; Cestoda; Cyclophyllidea; Hymenolepididae
Description: partial 28S ribosomal RNA
Rfam family: Eukaryotic large subunit ribosomal RNA
Source: RNAcentral
CCCUUGGUAACGGCGAGUGAAGAGGGAAGAGCCCAGCACCGAAGCCUGCGGCAGUUUUGCUGUUAGGCAAUGUGGUGUGUGGGUCGGCUCGCGGGACCAUCACUCCACUCGAAGUCCAGCAUUGAGUAUGGCUAACACUGGAUUUGGCCCAUAGAGGGUGAGAGGCCCGUACGAGUGGAGGUUCAGACAUGUACGAUGGUUCACCAGGCCGGCCUCAGAGUCGGGUUGUUUGAGAUUGCAGCCCAAAGAGGGUGGUAAACUCCAUCCAAGGCUAAAUACGCCCACGAGUCCGAUAGCGAACAAGUACCGUGAGGGAAAGUUGAAAAGUACUCUGAAGAGAGAGUAAACAGUACGUGAAGCCGCAUGCAGGUAAACGGGUGGCGUCAAGCUGCGAGCCCGGAGGAUUCAGCUGACUGGGAUGUAGUGUGCGCACGCCUGGUGCGUCGAGAGGCCGGAAUAAGAUGCUUAUGGCGGUCCACUCCUCUGCUGGGAGUGGAGUGCAAUCGGUGUGCGCUUGCGUAUGCCGGUUGUCGCUAUGUAUGCCGGGUGGGUGCCGGAGCAUGCCGCUCAUCUGUUGGGCCACCUAGUCAGUGCAUUUUCUCCGUGGUGAACACCACGACCGGUGGAACUGCCAGUCUGCUGUGAUCAAGUCGUGUCCUUCUGGCGCGUUACUGCGCUAGGGGUUUGGCACGAUGGCAGGCGGAGUCGGUGAACGGCGCAGUGGUGCUUCGGUACUGCCGCGUGUUAUCGUGCACUCUCCGUCGUAAGCGGUUAGUGGGGUUGACUAAGUGCUGUGACUACUUUCCCAUUAACCGGCCGAUGACAGUGGUGAAAGGGACUGUGCAGGGCACCGGAGUUGUCCACCUCAUUCAAUAUGGUACCCGGCACGCACGUUACAGGUGCCUAUACAAUCGGGAUGCGCCGCUGUCUGCCUGGUGUUGGGCCUGGCUGUCGUGUCGCCUACGCAAAGUGGGUCCGGCAGUGGUUUCGAUGCUUGGUAGCCGCAGUGUGUUGCGUGUCUCGGGUGUCUGUGGUACCGGGGGUGAAAUAGUCAGUGGUGCUGUGGUAGACGAGCUACCCGACCCGUCUUGAAACACGGACCAAGGAGUUUAACAUGUGUGCAAGUCAAAGGGUCCUACGAAACCCCUAGGCGCAGUGAAAGUGAAGUUCACGCUGCAUUUCUGCACA